ACGGGUGAGUAAUGCGCAGGUGAUCUACCUCUGUGACUGGGAUAACCAGCCGAAAGGUUGGCUAAUACUAGAUAGAGCGCGGUAGCUGUAAGGGUUAUCGCGGGAAAGGAAGGCGUAGCAAUACGCUUUAGCACUGAGAUGAGCCUGCGUUCCAUCAGCUAGUUGGUAAGGUAACGGCUUACCAAGGCAUUGACGGGUAGCUGGUCUGAGAGGACGAUCAGCCACACUGGAACUGAAACACGGUCCAGACUCCUACGGGAGGCAGCAGUGGGGAAUCUUGCGCAAUGGACGAAAGUCUGACGCAGCGACGCCGCGUGGGUGAAGAGGCCUUCGGGUUGUAAAGCCCUGUCGAGUGGGAAAAAGUCCUUUAUCAAUAAUAAGGGUAGAGGGUGAUGGUACCACUAGAGGAAGCACCGGCUAACUCCGUGCCAGCAGCCGCGGUAAUACGGAGGGUGCAAGCGUUGUUCGGAAUCAUUGGGCGUAAAGGGCAGGUAGGUGGUUUUGUAAGUCUGCUGUGAAAUCCCCGAGCUUAACUUGGGAAGUGCGGCAGAUACUGCAGAACUAGAGUGCCGGAGGGGUUCGUGGAAUU
Molecule: ribosomal RNA, 589 nt
Filed under: uncultured bacterium
Lineage: Bacteria
Description: bacterial SSU rRNA
Rfam family: Bacterial small subunit ribosomal RNA
Source: RNAcentral